UACGUAGGGUGCAAGCGUUGUCCGGAAUUAUUGGGCGUAAAGAGCUCGUAGGCGGUCUGUCGCGUCUGCUGUGAAAACCCGGGGCUCAACCCCGGGCCUGCAGUCGAUACGGGCAGACUAGAGUGCGGUAGGGGAGACUGGAAUUCCUGGUGUAGCGGUGAAAUGCGCAGAUAUCAGGAGGAACACCGGUGGCGAAGGCGGGUCUCUGGGCCGUAACUGACGCUGAGGAGCGAAAGCGUGGGGAGCGAACAGG
RNAcentral lists this ribosomal RNA (253 nucleotides) under uncultured bacterium. Its description in RNAcentral is "partial 16S ribosomal RNA". It matches the Rfam family "Bacterial small subunit ribosomal RNA", at positions 524 to 776 of the family's 1533-position model. The record is from RNAcentral.